RNAcentral lists this long non-coding RNA (369 nucleotides) under Homo sapiens (human). RNAcentral describes it as "HSALNT0404183". Lineage: Eukaryota; Metazoa; Chordata; Mammalia; Primates; Hominidae. The record is from RNAcentral.
ACAUUUAAUCACUUCCCACAAGGAGAAGCAGGCUGGGUGUGCUCCAGGCUCCGGAAGCUCCAGCAGCCCCAGAGAUGAGGGUGGUCUGCCCCCCACACUCCCUGCCCCAGCCCAUCCUGGACCUUCUCCUGACACACAGCAAACCACACUUAGCUGUCAUUGAUGAAUCGGAGCCUCUGCCAGACAGCCGGCCAAGCCGACGCUAACUCACCCCACAGCCUGAAAUAGAAACUCGCUCGUUUUCCAGUGUGUGACAAAGAAGGAAGGACAUCAACUGGGAGUGGCCCAGAAGCCCGAAGCUGAGAGGACAAAGCUCACUGGGUCCUCCACAAUCUCUACUUUACCAAAAUCCAUGCGGGUGCAUCAUAA